RNAcentral lists this transfer RNA (89 nucleotides) under Actinobacteria bacterium ADurb.Bin346. RNAcentral's name for it is "tRNA-Leu". It matches the Rfam family "tRNA". Rfam says of the family: Transfer RNA (tRNA) molecules are approximately 80 nucleotides in length. Their secondary structure includes four short double-helical elements and three loops (D, anti-codon, and T loops). The record is from RNAcentral. Lineage: Bacteria; Bacillati; Actinomycetota.
GCCGGAGUGGCGGAACUGGCAGACGCGCUGGACUCAAAAUCCAGUGGGCUGCAAAGCCCGUGUCGGUUCGACCCCGACCUUCGGCACCA